AUUGAACGCUGGCGGCAGGCCUAACACAUGCAAGUCGAACGAGUGGCGGACGGGUGAGUAAUGUCUGGGAAACUGCCCGAUGGAGGGGGAUAACUACUGGAAACGGUAGCUAAUACCGCAUACCAUCGGAUGUGCCCAGUUGGGAUUCGCUAGUAGGUGGGGUAACGGCACACCUAGGCGACGAUCCCUAUCUGGUCUGAGAGGAUGACCAGCCACUGGGGAACUGAGUCACGGUCCAGAGUCCUACGUGAGGCGGGAGUGGGGAAUAUUGCACAAUGGGCGCAAGCCUGGUGCAGCCAUGCCGCGUGUAUGAAGAAGGCCUUCGGGGUGUAAAGUACUUUCAGCGAGGAGGCGUUACUCGCAGAAGAAGCACCGGCUAACGCCGUGCCAGCAGGCGCGGUAAUAC
Molecule: ribosomal RNA, 406 nt
Filed under: uncultured bacterium
Lineage: Bacteria
Description: partial 16S ribosomal RNA
Rfam family: Bacterial small subunit ribosomal RNA
Source: RNAcentral